RNAcentral lists this ribosomal RNA (253 nucleotides) under uncultured bacterium. RNAcentral's name for it is "partial 16S ribosomal RNA". It matches the Rfam family "Bacterial small subunit ribosomal RNA", at positions 524 to 776 of the family's 1533-position model. The record is from RNAcentral.
UACAGAGGGUGCAAGCGUUGUUCGGAAUUAUUGGGCGUAAAGCGCGUGUAGGCGGCAUUGCAAGUCGGGUGUGAAAGCCCGGGGCUCAACCCCGGGAGGCGGAUGGAUACUGCAAGGCUCGAGUACGGAAGAGGCGAGUGGAAUUCCCGGUGUAGCGGUGAAAUGCGCAGAUAUCGGGAGGAACACCAAUGGCGAAGGCAGGUCUCUGGGCCACUACUGACGCUGAGAAGCGAAAGCAUGGGGAGCGAACAGG